Molecule: non-coding RNA, 6453 nt
Organism: Equus caballus (horse)
Lineage: Eukaryota; Metazoa; Chordata; Mammalia; Perissodactyla; Equidae
Source: RefSeq, a predicted model, not a curated record
AAGCUACUUAUUCCCUAACUUAGAAUUUGGAUUCUUCUCUUAAGAUUCCUUUCUAAAGAGAAGGGUUCUAGAAGAUAGCUUCAAGAAAAAUGAAGGCAGUCGACAGAACCCUAGACUGAGAAUUUAAGAAUUUAAGGUUGGAUAAAGAACAACUUCUCUGAUCCUUAAUUUCCUCAACUCUAAAAUGAGUGGUUUAGAAGACAUUAUCUGCAAGGUUCCUAACAGAGCUAAAAUUCCACGGCUCUCCUUUUUAAAAAAAUUAUCUUCUACCUCCUUCCACCUCUAUUCCUUCUUCCACCUAUUUCAUUUCAAACACACUCUGAACAGAAGUGUUUAGACACAGUACCCAUGAUUUAAUCUUAUAGAAAUAUAUCAGAGAAGACUAAAAAGCUUGGAAACAGAAAGGAACAAACGGAAAUUAUUCCCUGCCAACUUUCUUCAUGGGAAAAAGGCAUUUUCUUCUAGAGAAAAAAAUCUGUUGAGGUACUACGGUUUUAAAAAAAAUGGCUCCAUUUUCUCAUAAGGACAUUGUUUUAUAUAAUUUUUAUAUAAUUGCCCUUAAGAAGAAUAUGAGGUAAUAGAGAAGUAAACCCUUUGAAAGUAGUCUCUUAUUUUAACUUUAAUAUACAUCAUCCAUUCAUUUAGUCAUCCACUAAGAUAUUUUCUGAUCACAUAACCAUGUAAGUCAUUAGUUCUCUUUAACUCAUUUGUAUUUGUAAUUAUCACUCAUCUUGUGGCUGAAACCAGAAACACGGGAGUCACCCGGAGUCCUCCUUUUCUUUGACCACAGAUCCAACCAACUACCAAAUCCUGACGACCCGACUUCAGAACAGACCUUGAACCAUCCAUUUCUCUGCUGCUCUUCUGCCAGCCCAGUCAUUGUCUUACCUAAACUCUUUAAGAGCCUCGUGGUGGCCUCUUUGUACUCUGGCCAUCCUCCAACCUCCUCUCCACAGAGCAGCCCUAGCACUCCUUUUAAACCCACAAACUUGGCUGUGCCACUCCCCAAGGAACACUCUUCAGUGUCAUAUCAAUGGCUUUUGCAUCAAAUCUACACUCUUUCCCUAGCCUUCAAGGCAUAUAGCAUUUGGUUCCUGUCUACCUUUCCAUCAUUAACUAGCCAUGUGAGCUUGAGCAAGUUAUAGGAUCUCUCUUCACAUUAUAAAUUUUAUGCUAUAAAAUGCAGCUAAGAAGAACCUGCCUGUAAAGUGCUUGUGACAGUUCUUGGUACAUAGCAAGUACUCAGUGAGUGUUAACUAUGUGAAUAUUUUAUAGCAGACAAAGACUCAGAGAAUGUCCACUCUGUGUAUAACUCUAAGCUAGGUACUUCUAAACACUAGUGAACCCUUUCUAAUACUUCUCCCAACAUACACCCUUUUCUGAUUGCUAUGUCAACAAGGGGAUUACUACAUUUAACUGAACUACAUAAAGUCUUACACUCGGGUUACACAAAAAAUGGCUUAGGGCAUUUCAUGUGAAAAGACCUUAAGGACUUUGGGCGAAUGCAAGCAAGCAACUAAGAGAAAAGAGCACAGUGGUUUCCAUAUCACCUCCCUACCCCAAUGCACACACAGAAAAAACUAAAGAAAUCUUAGAUCAUGAUACUAUUUUUACCUAAAAUAAGAGAAGUCACAUGUUGCACUGGUCAGAUAGUAUUUGGUUUUAUUCAAGUCAGCGUAUUCUAACAGCAACAUUAACAUGUCAAUUAAGGGACAAAUUUAGGACAAGUAGGAAGGUAAGGGGCCUGUGAAGAAUGUUACAUACGACAUAGUUAAGGGAAUUGGGGUAAUUAGCCUUGGGAAGAAAAGACCUGGAAGACGCGAUGGACAAGAUAUUUCAAAUAGUUGAAAAAUCUUUUUAUAGAAAACACAUUAUAUAUGUCCUAAUGACCAGAGCUGGACCCAAAGUAUGGAAGUUACAAGGAAGAAGACUCCAAUUCUCAUUAUUAGAAAUAUGCAAAAAUGGGAGGAAAAACACUUAGGAGAGUAGCAAAUGGCUCUUCAUAGGAAAAGUUUUAAGUACAGGCUGAAUGAUCAUCUUCUAAGAACCAUGUGGAAGGAAUUUCCUUUUUGGAUAAGAGCGAGGGACUAGAUAAUAACAGCUAACAUUUACUAAGCACUUAAUAAUGUGCUAAGAGUUUUACAAAAACUCUUAGAGAUAGGUGCUACCAUUUUGCUGAUGAGGAAAUUGACAUAGGUUGUGACUUGUCUACAGUCCAACAAGAAAUAGCUGAAACAGGAGUCAAAUCAAGGCUGCUUGACUCCAGAAUUUGGACUCUCAGUCUCCAUGAUACACAACUUCUAAACCAGCGAUUUCAGAAUGUUUCCCACCUCUAAUUUCCAUGUUUCUAUUUUUCACAACUUUCUGCAGUUACUUGUUAAUUGGCAUCCCAUAUGCCUGUAAAUUUGUGUUAAUAAGAUUUGUUAGAAAAGAAAGUUUUUCUGGAAUAGAUGAAUGCAUACCAUUUCCCGGAGAUGUACCAGAAUUCGUAUGUAAUGAGAGAGUUGUAGCAGAAGAGGAACAUUAGUCUAUGCAAACCUUCCAAGAAAAAGAAGUCUCUGUAACCAAAAAGGACCCUACAAGAAAUUCCUCUGCUCAUUCAGAAAGAGAAUUUCUGAGACAAUUUUAGAUAUACAAUCAUUUUAAAUAUGCAAUACUUAACAAAGAGAUAUAAGAGAGAAAAAUCAAAAGGUAUAGCAACCUUUACAAGUAUCUUCUUCUUGCCAUUAGAUUACAGAAGGAUAACGGCAGGAAGUUAUUAAGACUGCUAACAUUCUGCAAAUAGAAUAAUCACUAUACAAUGUUCCCCAGAAGGAGAGAGUUUACAAAGUAAAAUGUUCUGGAGUAAUUUGAGAUUCAGAUAAAAAUGGAGUGGAUAAAUGAGAUAAUGGCAGAGAGCAGAACACCCCACAGAAUGCACAGAUAUUCUGUUCUGGUAAGAACUUUCGGGUCUAUUACUAUGCUCAGAUGUCUCAUAUGGUCUCAUCAGGCACAAUUUUGCAGUGACAGUAAAAAAUACAAUUUGCUCAUUUAGAACAUGUUUUAGAGCUGGGUGAGAAAUAAUUUCCCUAAAUUGAAUAUUUGGGAACCAAUUACAACUGCAAAUCUGCUAUUAACCUCAAAAUAGGUAAUUGCAAGUUUGUGUCUAAAUCCAUUUGUCAUAAUAGAGCAAAUUAAGAAUCACAUGAUGGACGUGAUUAAUGUGUGACAGUUAUGAGCACCAUGAGCCCAAACUAAUAACAACAUCAAAGAGAGAUUCCAAAUGUGAUGCAGCCAUGAAGGCAAAACUAAUUUUCGAAUUAUAAUAGCAACAUCCAAGAAAGCUAAUGUUUUCUUUGUGUGAUAGUCACGGCUGGGCAUCUGGAGGAUGGCCGGCCACUAAUGUCCUAAUAAAUGGCAGGCACACACUGGAAAGACAGUCAUCAUGUGGUGAACUGAGCAGAGUUGCUGAUGCCGUUGUCAUAAUGGACUGACCAGGCAGCGGGUCACAGGGGCUGGAUGGGCCUGAGAGUUCUGACUCACACUGCACAAACACAUUGUCAGUGCAUAUAAGUAAGAUUCCUGCUUUAUUCCUGUGUAGCAUUUCUUCCCUAUUUUCCCGCUGAGAGAAUUCUAGAUGACUUGGAAAAUACUUGGUAGUGUCAGAGUGAGACCUUGCUUUGGCAACAGUCACCUUGGAGUUAAGAGAGAAAACUACCUGCAGAUUCUGUGAGAACAGGGCCUUCAGCUGAUGCUUGGGGGGAACACCCACUCUGGCGGGCACUGGCAGCCUGGUACUGCCUGGUGAACAGUACAGUGAAAGGCAAUGACCCUACCUGCUUGACUGACUGAAUGAUGGACGCUGCCUAGGAAGUACGAGUGUCACUGAUUAAGAAUUCUUAUACCAGAAGUAUACAGCUAGGAGGACAAAGGGCAUUGGCUUCAUAAGCAACCAGGAUUGAUACAUUGGAGAACAAUCUGAACAUAAUGCAAAUCUCAUAUUUGCUUACGCCAGUUCUCGGUGAGAAACACUAGGUGAGCACAGAAAACUGCACCCAGCUGAACUGUACUGCGGAGAAGCUUACAAAACACACGCAAGCACACCUCUCAAACUUCUCAUUUCGCUUUGUGUGUUAUGACUCAGUUAUGAGCCACAUGCAUGCCUAUCUGCUGUCACAACUCUCCGUCGGAGUUCAGAUCACCUCCUUCUACAACUUCACCCUCUCACUCCGACUUCCACAGGAAAUAAGGAAAAUGCAGAACAGAAUCUACUAUCUGCAGCAGGACAAAAUCCUGAAGAUCUCCAAUUAACAGGCCCCCAUGGCUUAUGAUGAGGACUUUAGAGGGCGAGGAAAAAGACUCAUGCAAACUUAAUAGCUCAAGACACGCGUCUAGUAAGACAGGAGUCGUGGCUUGGCCUGCUCGUGCUCUUUGCAUACUGUGUGUCCAGAAAAUAAAACCUGUCUUCUGUGGAUAUGUUGUUUAUUCUGUUUAACCAAUGUCUACAAUAAAGAUAUUCAAAGCCAAGAAAUUUAUCACAAUUUAGCGCAUGUUAAAUAGAUGCUGUGCAACCAUGGCUGGGUAUGAGAAAAUUGGAAAAUGGAUUUUGAGUGUCAACACUGAAUGAGAAGCUCUAGUCAGGUCAAGCAAUGAAUAAAUCCAUGCCUAUUUUAAUGAUAAAAGACAAUACUUUGAUAGCAUUUAAUUCAUCAUGGGAUAGGUGAAAAUGAAUUGAUGCUGAUGGCUGAGAGAAUUAUUUUAUAAAUUAAUUAGAUUUCUUUGUAUAAAUAUUGGCUAAAAGAAUACUGUUGGAUUUAUUUUUUUGGGUACAUAUAUGUUUAAAAACAAACUGAAAAAAAUCUACCAAUGAUAAUUUAAAAUUACCAAUAUAAAGAAGAGUACUAUCAAGUAUUCUUUAGCACACAGGGCCAAUUGUAAUAUGUCUUCUUUUUUUAAAGGAAAAAUAAUUUUUAAAAAAUAAGGAUCAAAUGACAAAAAAUUCAGAAGUCCUCUUCAUAAUAUAGGCUGCAUGUAAUACAGCUACAACAUCCUGAGUCUGUGAUUAGUCUAAAACCAAGUAAUUCUAUAUCCAGGAGUCUAGCAAGAUAUCGCCUUUCAACUCAUUGCAACUUUUUUCUACUGCAGAAACAGAUUAAUCUGAAAACUUACUGGUCAAACACUUUUCCUCCACUUUUGUAAUUUAAAAAAAUUUUCAAUCAUUUUCUCUUAAAGAUGUCAUACAGGGUGCUAACGCUUUCACAAGCACAAUCAACACCUUCAGAGCACUGAAAAUUUGAUGUGAGUUGAAUAUACGGGCUGCUACAAAUAGUCCUUUUUCAAAUUAGUUUAGUUUUAGCAGUAGUAUUCUUAUAGAAGACCAAAGAAAUUAUUUUAUAAGAAGUAGAGCAACACAUUUAAAUUAAAGAUCAUUUACUACAUAUGAAUGAAACACCAAACACAUAAACAACUGGUCCUACUGACAAUAGACUAAAUUUGGAUGUUUAGUUUUCAAAUGUGAAAUUUUGCUUAAAUGGAUUAAAAGAAUGAAAUUAUUCAUCUAGAUAUGGUACUACAUUUGCAUUUUUUGAUCCACUAAUUAAAUGUAAAAGUGAAAAACAGCAUGAUGAUCUGAUCUUUUAUUUAGUUUACUGUAUGUAACUGCCUACCUGGAAUUUAACCCCAAGCUAAGUUUUCUCUUAGACAGCAACGAAAGUAAGCAAAGAAAGAAUUUUGUGCAAAGACGCCAACUCAAUUAUACUUGAUAAUGAAGAAGAUAAUCCCAGAUGGUUAUUUCACCUCAUAGCAUGUCUAUUUGCCCACAGGCGUGUUGUCAUCUGAACACCUAAAUGAAAAUGUAUUUGGAGUUUGUAAUAUUUCUAGAUAAAUAAUUAGGACAUACUGUGACUCCCUGAACUAAUUUCUCCACCAGGUUACCCCUAACGGAACUGUUCACGGAUCUCUAUUCAAAGAGGACCACCUCCACUGGGUUCCAGGAGAAAGCUUUGAAGAUCCUUUCUGUUCCUCCCCCAACUCCUCUUCAUUUCCCUCCGUGGAAGAGGAGUUGUGAAUCUGAAGUCAGAUUCCAGGAUGGCAACAUGUUCUUGGGAGGAAACUUUCAAAAAUGAUAAGAGCUUUUCUUUACCUACUGUGGUGGCUGCCGUCCUCUGGCAUCCUUUUGUGAGUCUCCGCUCAGCACCCUCCUUCCCAUCCCUUUCCUUCAGUCGAGGCAGACAGAACUGGAGCUACUGUCCAGGGAGAACAGGUGUGAGAGGGUGCAGAUGGAUGUGCUUUUUGAUUUCAAUAGGGUUACCAAUUUUAAGAUUGGUGUUUGGGGGCAGGAACCCGCUUGGUCCUUCAGUCAAGACAAAAGGAGCACUCUGUGUAUUUUUUUUUUUUUUUGGUGAGGAAGAUUGGCCCUGAGCUAACAUCUGUGCCAAUCUUCCUCUGUUUUGUAUGUGGGACACUGCCACAGCA